UACGGAGGGUGCUAGCGUUAAUCGGAUUUAUUGGGCGUAAAGUGUGUCAAGGUGGAGAGAUAAGUCAGACGUGAAAUCCCAGGGCUCAACCCUGGAACUGCAUUUGAAACUGUCUUUCUAGAGGGUAGGCGGAGAAAACAGAAUUCUGCAAGUAGCGGUGAAAUGCGUAGAUAUGCAGAAGAAUACCGGUGGCGAAGGCGGUUUUCUAGCUUAUUCCUGACACUGAAGCACGAAAGCAAGGGGAGCAAACAGG
Molecule: ribosomal RNA, 253 nt
Filed under: uncultured bacterium
Lineage: Bacteria
Description: partial 16S ribosomal RNA
Rfam family: Bacterial small subunit ribosomal RNA
Source: RNAcentral